This 77-nucleotide transfer RNA is filed under the name Candidatus Curtissbacteria bacterium RBG_13_40_7. Its description in RNAcentral is "tRNA-Arg". It matches the Rfam family "tRNA". From Rfam's summary of the family: Transfer RNA (tRNA) molecules are approximately 80 nucleotides in length. Their secondary structure includes four short double-helical elements and three loops (D, anti-codon, and T loops). Lineage: Bacteria; Candidatus Curtissiibacteriota. The record is from RNAcentral.
GCGCUCGUAGUUCAAUUGGACAGAACACCAGCUUGCGGAGCUGACGAUUGAGAGUUCGAGUCUCUCCGAGCGCGCCG